GGGGUUGUGGCUUAGUGGUAAAGUACUUGCCUUGCAUGCAUGAGACACUGGGUUUGAUCCUCAGCACCA
RNAcentral lists this transfer RNA (69 nucleotides) under Ictidomys tridecemlineatus (thirteen-lined ground squirrel). RNAcentral's name for it is "Spermophilus tridecemlineatus (thirteen-lined ground squirrel) tRNA". It matches the Rfam family "tRNA". From Rfam's summary of the family: Transfer RNA (tRNA) molecules are approximately 80 nucleotides in length. Their secondary structure includes four short double-helical elements and three loops (D, anti-codon, and T loops). Lineage: Eukaryota; Metazoa; Chordata; Mammalia; Rodentia; Sciuridae. The record is from Rfam by way of RNAcentral.